This 204-nucleotide unclassified non-coding RNA is filed under the name Hevea brasiliensis (rubber tree). The record is from RNAcentral. Lineage: Eukaryota; Viridiplantae; Streptophyta; Magnoliopsida; Malpighiales; Euphorbiaceae.
GUGGCAGCAUCUCCUUAAUAAUCUUAAGCAUGGUUGCUUUGGGGAGAGAGACAUCCUCCUUGGAUUUCCCCACGAUUUCCAUCGGCUCCAUCUCCUGAGUGAUUGAAUCGAAGGAUUUAGGGCACCGCGGUGGUCACAAUUUGGGGAAUUGGAAGGGCAAUUUGGGGAGAAAAGGGGAAGGGGAGGAGGAGAAAGAUCGUGAAG